RNAcentral lists this ribosomal RNA (491 nucleotides) under uncultured bacterium. RNAcentral's name for it is "bacterial SSU rRNA". It matches the Rfam family "Bacterial small subunit ribosomal RNA", at positions 28 to 507 of the family's 1533-position model. The record is from RNAcentral.
GAUGAACGCUAGCGGCAGGCUUAACACAUGCAAGUCGAGGGGCAGCAUGACGGAACUUUCGGGUUUUGUUGAUGGCGACCGGCGCAAGGGUGCGUAACGCGUGAGCAACUUGCCCGUUUCUGGGGAAUAACCGGUGGAAACGCCGACGUUAAUACCCCCAUAGUAUAACGAAGAGGCAUCUUUUUGUAUUAAGAACUUCGGAAACGGAUAGGCUCGCGUGACAUUAGCUAGAUGGCGGGGUAACGGCCCACCAUGGCGACGAUGUCUAGGGGUUCUGAGAGGAAGGUCCCCCACACUGGAACUGAGACACGGUCCAGACUCCUACGGGAGGCAGCAGUGAGGAAUAUUGGUCAAUGGUCUGACGACUGAACCAGCCAUGCCGCGUGAAGGUGACGGCCCUAUGGGUCUUAAACUUCUUUUGUAAGGGAGCAAUAAGUCUCACGUGUGGGAUGAUGAGAGUACCUUACGAAUAAGCAUCGGCUAACUCCGUG